AACUAUUGUGCCAGUUUUUGAAAAUUUAUCAAACAGGAUAGCCAUUGGAAAGACAGUGAUCCAAAAUUCACAAGUUAUAAAGUCUGUCGCGAAGAGUGAAAAUGAAUUGUUUAGAGACUCUCGAUAUUGAAUUGGUGAAUCAUCAAUUCAAGCAACCAGAAUUUCUAACAUUGAUCCUCUUAGAGAUUAUGAAGUGAUCGAAGUCGUUGAUGAUAUCGAUUAUGAACCAGAAGAUAUUGAAAUACCACAUGAGUAUAAUGGUCUAAA
Arachis ipaensis is the source of this 267-nucleotide non-coding RNA. The record is from RefSeq and is a predicted model, not a curated record. NCBI's taxonomy places the organism in Eukaryota, Viridiplantae, Streptophyta, Magnoliopsida, Fabales, Fabaceae.